GUCUACGGCCAUGCUACCCUGAACAAGUCCAAUCUGGUCUGAUCUUGGAAGCUAAGCAGGAUUGGACCUAGUUAGUACUUGGAUGGGAGACCACCUACGAAGACUAGGUGCUAUAGACA
RNAcentral lists this ribosomal RNA (119 nucleotides) under Pteropus alecto (black flying fox). The record is from RNAcentral. Lineage: Eukaryota; Metazoa; Chordata; Mammalia; Chiroptera; Pteropodidae.